AUACUGUGGUUUCUCUUCAGAUUGUAUGAAUUGUUUGCCUUUUACUAAAGAUUUCCAUGGAGAGGAACAACUCUGAAUACCAUGCAGGACAUAGGCAUGGGCAAAGACUUCAUGU
This is a small nuclear RNA of Gorilla gorilla gorilla (western lowland gorilla), 115 nucleotides long. Its record names the gene U5. It matches the Rfam family "U5 spliceosomal RNA". From Rfam's summary of the family: U5 RNA is a component of both types of known spliceosome. The precise function of this molecule is unknown, though it is known that the 5' loop is required for splice site selection and p220 binding, and that both the 3' stem-loop and the Sm site are important for Sm protein binding and cap methylation. The record is from Ensembl. Lineage: Eukaryota; Metazoa; Chordata; Mammalia; Primates; Hominidae.